Molecule: RNA transcript, 6443 nt
Organism: Mus musculus (house mouse)
Lineage: Eukaryota; Metazoa; Chordata; Mammalia; Rodentia; Muridae
Gene name: predicted gene, 50595
Exons: 5
Source: RefSeq, a predicted model, not a curated record
ACUGAGUUAGGUCAAAUUAUUUUAUGCCUUUAUUCUCAAAUUUAUUUAUGCUUUUCCUUGUAUAACUACUAGCAGUUUGAAAACAGUUUUAUUAAUUAACAAGCUGGGACGCAAUAUAUCAUCACAUCUUUAGAGCUUUGGCGCCAGCUAGUGGUAGUAGUGAGGAACUGCACAGUCAUGUUCAAACCCCAAAGUCUUGUUUUGCCAAUUGCCUUUCUCCUGUUUCUCCCACGUUUUUCUUCAUCAACACAAUGGGGGAAUUCUUGCAAUCGGUCAGCGAGGAAUAGAAGGAAUUAUAGAUGAAUUCAGAAAGACCAGUAGGCGAGAGGCAAAGGGAGGAGAGGCCAGACAAACGCAAGCACUUUCCUAAAGGAUUUGAGACCAUUUGUUUCUUUAGAUUCCUGGCAUUCGAUAGAGCAGUUCAGAUUUUGCCAAUGACUUUUGAGCCUUUUGUUUUUUCAUUUGUAGAUAGGUUUGAAUACAUACCUAAGCCACGUGGUGACUAUGAACCUCACCAGAACAGCCCCGAGGAACCCUAUCUGUGUUGGUUAUGGAGAACAAGGACCAUCCAAGCUGGGAAGCACUUCUUGUGUUGUUUUUGGAAGGGACCACACUGAGCAAAUCAACCUGUGCACCGGGGACUCUGCUGAGGAAAUCUGAGAGUGAUGGACAGCAUAGAAGUGACUUCAGUGUUCCUGUGAAAGCUGUCACUUUCUCUGCAGAGUGCUGUGACCCGUGUGGUAAGCAGUGGAGGUUAAUGUCACCUUUCAUGCCUGUGUGGAGGAGAAGCAAGGACGCACGUGAAGACGGCACAUGGUCAGAGACAAGAUGGCUUCUGGACAGAUGCUGGGCAUAUGUCAACUGGCGGUCUUUCCUCUCAUGGAAAUCACAUUGAAACUCCCCACAACCACAGCUCUGAGCAGCGUGGGAAGACAAAGACAGCUGUGCCCGCUGGCGGCCUCAGAUGUUCCCACAGCAGCGCUACACUGCAGGGUCCCCAGGGUCAUCAAAUAUGCAGAAGGAUGUUGGAGUCCUUUGUAUCACAGCCAGAAAUGCCAUGUGCUCGGCGUUGGAUCGCACUGGGCUCUUGUUCCUGCCAGUAGAAGAUUGUGAGAAAGGGGAAAUGGCUCUUUUAUCAAACUGUAUGCUGAUAGCAGAUUACGGGUGUCUUUGUGAGCUAUAGAAUGACAGAUUUUCCAGGUUCUUGUUCAAGAAAAAUGGCUAACUGAGAACUGUACUGGAAUAAGAGCCCGACCAUUCCAGAAGAAAAUCACUGUCCUUAGUUCUCACUGAAAUCCAUUUUUAAAGGCUACAGCCUGCCUGUCCUCCUUGAGAAGAGCCAGCCUCAGCCUGCACCGCAAAGCCUGUUGGGUAGUUAGCUGCUUUUAGUUGAUUAGCUCGGGAAAACUAGAGCUACCUUGAAACUCCCUGGUGGCUGGGGAUGCCGGGAAAUGCCACUGGGUGAAAGAGCACAUGGCCACACAGCAGAUGCCUCCUCCAUUUCCCUUCAGACGUGAGACUUCUUGCAGUGGGAGAUAUACAGCUUUCAUAACUGAGAACUAGAAUAUCCAACUUGGGUGACAUUUUUUUCCUCUUCUAUUUAAGCUGUUUUUCUUUUCUUUUUUAUUUUAAAGAUUUAUUUAUUAUAUGUAAGUACACUGUAGUUGUCUUCAGAUACACCAGAAGAGGGCAUCAGAUCUCAUUACGGGUGGUUGUGAGCCACCAUGUGAUUGCUGGGAUUUGAACUUCGGACCUUCGGAAGAGCAGUCGGGUGCCCUUACCCACUGAGCCAUCUCACCAGCCCCAAGUUGUUUUUCUUAACACAGCUAAGAGUACUGUGUUUUCGGAGUUUUGUCUUUUCUGAAUGACUGGGAAGAUUAACAGGAGCUUAAUAUUAUUUCACUGGUCAGUGUUGGCCAAUGGGAAGAGUAAGUGGGUUUCUAUACCAGCAGCCCUUGGUCCAGUUUAAGCAAACAUUUCCUAAGUGACAGGGAUGAGAGAAUAGAAAUUUGUUCAAUAAAUUUGCCAAUGAAAAAGUAGGGCAUGGUAGUUUGCCUCUUAUUAGAGCUGGUAUUAAACGGUGUAAGUAAAACGGAAGAAGAGGAGGAAAAGAGGAAGGAACAACAACAACAACAGAUACAUGGAAACUGUGAAAGUUUAGAAGGCUGGUUAUGUGUAGUACUAGGGCAAACAUCACAGCACAAGCCGGGACCUGUUAUUUACAACACACCUUAAGAUAUAACAAAUUGUGAUCAAGAUCCAUGUCUUGGAACAAACAGGUCAUCAGCUGUCUUUUUCACACUAGGUCAACGGAACAUGUCCUCUGCACAGGAGGUGGUAAAAAUGGAGCCCUCUAUGAUUCUGAGGUGGGUCGCUGCUUUCAUUAACUCUAGGCUGUAGCCUCGAUGGUUGCUGGCCUGAAAGGCAGGCUGAGUACAUGUGUGGAUUUAGACUGAGGACAUCCACAAGGCUCCCACGGAGGGAGAGAUUCCGACUCUAACGAGCUGAGCGACCUUGACCCAGCCCUUCAGCAUCGAGGGCCUUCCUUUUUUCAGCCAGGAAACAGAUCUCCUCAGGGAGUAAUGAGAAACUGAACUGUUCUCAGUGUCUGAGAAGAUGUAAAGAAACCAUGUUAGUUUCUAAUAAGACUAUUUCUUAAAAAAAAAGAAGUUCAUGUAGUGGGCAAAGCUCUUUCUCAUUAUUUCGUUUUAAGUAACGUUAGGUCUAUGAGUUGUACCCAGCAUUAGGUCUCACUGGGAGGUUCCUGUGUGUGUGUGUGUGUGUGUGUGUGUGUGUGUGCUUUGCUUGGUCUCAUACUUUGUCUCCUCCCCCCACUCUCACUCUCCUUAACCCAUCCUAUCCCCACCAUGACCAUUCCACAAAUGUCAGACUUUUAUUUUCAGGACGUGUCUGUUUAUUUCUUUUCUUUUCAGAGUCCACAUAUUAGAGACAAUGCUAUUUAUUCUAUGUCAGGCCAAGUUUGCUCUGGAUAAUUUCUGGUUCCACCUCUUUCCCUGCAACAGUGUGAUUUCAUUCUCUGUGGCUAAGCAAACUCUGCUGUUGCGUGUGCCAGAUUUUCUUCAUUUGUUCAUCUGUUCCUGACACCUAGGGUGGCUUCAUAUUUUGGUUAUCAUGAAUAGAGCCUGCAGUAAGCAUGGAUGGGCAGGCAUCUCUUUUAUAUACCAAGCUCAUUUCCUGGGAUAUAUGUGUUCUGUUUUUAGGUUUUUGAGGAACCACCAUAAUGGUUUCCAUAGUAGCUGCGCUAACUAAUAUUCUUUUUUUAAAAUUCAUUUAUUUAUUUUAUGUAUAUGAGUACACUGUAGCUGUCUUUAGACACACCAGAAGAGGGCAUCAGUUCUCAUUAUGGGUGGUUGUGAGCCACCAUGUGGUUGCUGGGAAUUGAACUCAGGACCUACAAGAGCAGUCAGUGCUCUUACCUGCUGAGCCAUCUCGCCAUCCCUAAUUAAUAUUCUUACCAGCAAUGUUUAGUUCUUCCUCUACAACAUCACAAGCAUUGUUAUUUUUAGUGAGUAGAGUCCUAUAAAAACAUAAAUAUACAUAAGAAAAAAAUACUUUUUAGUCAAGAGUUGGGAAAUGCUCCAGACUCUGGAUUAAGCCACAACAUGGCCCUGAGCUCCAAAUACAACUGAGAACCCCCAAACAGCUGUUUGCUCUGAACUGAGAGUGGAGAACACCUGCCGGCAGACAGGGUUCAGCCUCAAGGAAGCGAGGUUCUCACUAUUAGCUCUUGGCCAGCUGCUAUCAAUGCAUUGACUUAUCUAAUCCUCAAACCUGUGCAAGGUGGUGGGGAGGUGGUCAAUAUCCACCUUGGGGAAGAGGAAUCUGAAACACAAAGGUAACACUGAUUAAACUCAUUAUGCGGUGGGGCAUGACUAAUGGUCUGGGUUACAAUGAUUUGGAGUCCCAGCUGAUGUGGCCAUUGAUUCCACAGUAAUGAGAAAGGUAGAUAAGGAGAGCAACUCUAGGCUUCUUUUAUUCUCCAAGGAUGAGAUCAGCGGCUCUGGACUAAGGAAUCUUGUUCCUGGAAGCCCUCUAGAAAUGAGCACCUAUGUGAUCUUGCUUAAGCCGUUCUAUCUUGUUUUUAAAGAUAGGUUUUGUUUUCAGCUGGGUGCAUGUGCGUAUCUGUGUGGGGGUCUGUGUGCAUGAGUGCAGGUGUCUGUAGAUGCUGGGAGGUGUAAGAUCCCCUUGGAGCUCCAGCUACAGGUGGUUGUGAGCUGCUUGGUGUGGGUUUUUGGAACCAAACUCUGGUCCUCUGAAAGAUCAGGCAUGCUAUUAACUCUUGCUGCCUCUCUAGCCUCUUCCUCCGUCUUGAGUGAUAACCCCCACAUCUGUAAAAUGAGGUUGUAUUCCUGCUCCUGAUAGAACAGAGAGGAUACUGAAUAGUGAUUGAUCUGCAAGUGCUAGAGUCACGUGGAAGGUUGAAGGAGGGCGUCUCACCUUCAGUGACACCUCAGUGACAACAGCUAUCUGUUUAACAAGCAUCCACUGUGUAGAGGUGAAGAGGUGAAGAGACAUAAAAGUCCUAUGUUAAUCCUUAUGAUCUGUAUUGUGACUUGCCUGUUCUAUUCUUUCCUCGGGUGUUCUUGACAUAUAAUAAUAUCUCUAAAAGAAUAAAUUGUUUGUCUGUGUACAUACACAUGUGCAUGUGUGGGUAUGUCUGGCUGUGCACAAACAUGGAGGCCAGAAAACAACACUGGAUGUUUUAUCUCUGUCAUUCUCUGCCUAUUCCUUUGAGAGAGAGAGAGAGAGAGAGAGAGAGAGAGAGAGAGAGAGUCCUUGCCUAAAUCUAGGGUUUUCCAUUUUCUCAGCUAUGCUAGAAGCAAGCAAGCUCUAGAGAUCUUUCAGUCUGUGCUCCACAUUGAGAGCUGGAGUUACAGGCAUGCACUGGAUUCCUGACUUGUCAUGUGCAUACUGGGAUAUGACCUUGGUCCUCAUGAUUGUAUCACAGUGCUCUUAACUGCUGAGCAAUCUCUCUAGCUCCAAUCACCACCACCACCAUCAUCAUCACCAUUGUUGACAAGGACCUAAGUUUAUCUCUAACCUAGUUCUCCCCAUUUUUCAGGCCAAGUGUCUCCAUCCAAGGCUUCUAGCCCAUUAUCUCAUGAUUGUCGUGUUUUCAUUGUUGUUCAAUCCUUUGCACAGUGUGGAGAUCUGUGACUGUUUAGGUGACCAGUAUGAACCCUGGCCAAAGGUCUUUGAUCUGUGAUUGCUUUUGGUGACCAGUAUGAACCCUGGCCAAAGGUCUUUUCUACCCAGUGGGCAGAGCCAAUUGAGCCUUUUGUACAGGAGCUUUCUGAUUUGUGCAAAACUCUGGAGCAGAUUGUGAGAGGCACAUGUUCAUUGUAAUAGCUGGGUGUGUUCUGAUUGUGUGAGAUGAGGCAGGCAGGAUGGGAAGGUGGGAUGGUUUCUUAUUCUUACAUAUGGAGAACAUGGUCCUGUUUCAGAAGACAUGCCCUCAGCCUUCUGUGUGAUGAAUUAUAUCCACACGAAACCUGGCAUCUCAGGUCAUAGGUGAAAAACUAAUUAAUGCCAACCCAGUAUUAGAGAAUUUACAUUGAAUGUGGAAGGCAGAGUCCCUUGCUUGAUGUAUAAAAUAUCCUUAGUGCUUCAUUUGUAUACUAGGUCAGUAACAACAGAUAUAUCACACCAGGCUGGUACAUCAAAGCUCAGAUGGAGAAAGAGCCAGGAGGUGCUGGGAUGCAGAGGGAUAGAUCACAUAUCUAUAUGUGAAUAAAAGAUUUUAAGGAGGGGUAAUUAAAAGAGAGUGCACCAAAGUCCAACAACUCAGAGCAUAGAUCUCUUUCAAAUGAACAAGGGCAUGAAAAGAAAAAUUCAGAAAUGUAUCUAUUUUGAGACAAGAUAUGAAGUAGUUUUAAAAGAGGGUGAUGCAUUGGAUGGGGUAUAUUUCAAUAGAAGAGCAUUUACCCAGGUUGCCCAAAGCCUUAGGUCCCAUUUCUAACACCAUACCGACCCACCCACCCAGCCACCCACCCACCCAAGUAAGGUACACUAUAAUAGGUGGUCUGGAGGGAGCCUAAUACAAACAUUCCAUUCAUAGUAACUGUAAUUUAAUGAUGGUGUUUUGUGACUCUGUUUAGGUGCAAGUUUUGUUGCAGAUAUUAAGAAAUUAUUGGCUUAUUUGCUAUUGCCUGUAGAUCUAGAAAACACUGCCAUGUUCUCCAUCUUUGAAUGUCUUUAACAUUGUGUAUGUCUCUUUAUACAGUUUGAAAGAUUUGUAACCAUUUCCUUACUUGUUAUGUUAUUGGGAGAAAAUUCACCUUUAUACUAAGUUCAAACAUUUCAGGUUUAUAGAAAAUUUUAGCUUCAAACGAUUCUGGCAUUUGCAAGAUGUGGAAUUUUGGAGUCUAGCUUUGUCCAGCCUGGUUCUUGGGAAAAUGAAGUUUGUGUACGGAGAGGAGCAG